AGUGAACGCUGGCGGUAGGCCUAACACAUGCAAGUCGAACGGCAGCACAGUAAGAGCUUGCUCUUACGGGUGGCGAGUGGCGGACGGGUGAGGAGUACAUCGGAAUCUACUUUUUCGUGGGGGAUAACGUAGGGAAACUUACGCUAAUACCGCAUACGACCUACGGGUGAAAGCAGGGGAUCUUCGGACCUUGCGCGAUUGAAUGAGCCGAUGUCGGAUUAGCUAGUUGGCGGGGUAAAGGCCCACCAAGGCGACGAUCCGUAGCUGGUCUGAGAGGAUGAUCAGCCACGCUGGAACUGAGACACGGUCCAGACUCCUACGGGAGGCAGCAGUGGGGAAUAUUGGACAAUGGGCGCAAGCCUGAUCCAGCCAUACCGCGUGGGUGAAGAAGGCCUUCGGGUUGUAAAGCCCUUUUGUUGGGAAAGAAAAGCAGCAGGUUAAUACCCCGCUGUUCUGACGGUACCCAAAGAAUAAGCACCGGCUAACUUCGUG
Molecule: ribosomal RNA, 492 nt
Filed under: uncultured bacterium
Lineage: Bacteria
Description: partial 16S ribosomal RNA
Rfam family: Bacterial small subunit ribosomal RNA
Source: RNAcentral